Molecule: non-coding RNA, 249 nt
Organism: Nylanderia fulva
Lineage: Eukaryota; Metazoa; Arthropoda; Insecta; Hymenoptera; Formicidae
Source: RefSeq, a predicted model, not a curated record
GUAUAAACUAUCAUUAUUAUUAAUUCUAACUCUACAUAUCUUUGUAUAGGUCGAGCUUGUUACAUUGUUACACGCAGUUGCAUGGAGACGUUUACUAAGUGGAAUAAAAUAAACAGUUUUCUGCCACUAACUAUAAUAGUAACAAAAGGGUUGACACAAGCAAUGGAAGAGUCUUGGUUGCAUCGCAUACUUUACAAUUCUGUUUACAAUCGGAUAGAAAUUGAAAAUAUAGAACUUUAUCACAGCAAA